This 117-nucleotide ribosomal RNA is filed under the name Danio rerio (zebrafish). The record is from RNAcentral. Lineage: Eukaryota; Metazoa; Chordata; Actinopteri; Cypriniformes; Danionidae.
GGCCACAGCCAUAUCACCCUGCAGCCCAAGACUGGUUACUCACUGAAGCUAAGCAGGGCUGAGCCUGGUCAGUACCUGGAUGGGAGACCACUAGGGAACACUAGGUUGCUGUUGGAA